Molecule: ribosomal RNA, 494 nt
Filed under: uncultured marine chlorarachniophyte
Lineage: Eukaryota; Cercozoa; Chlorarachniophyceae
Description: SSU rRNA
Rfam family: Eukaryotic small subunit ribosomal RNA
Source: RNAcentral
AGUCAUAUGCUUGUCUCAAAGACUAAGCCAUGCAUGUCUAAGUAUAAAUUUUUACUUAAUGAAACUGCAGAUGGCUCAUUAAACCAGAAAUCAUUCAUUUGAUGGUGACUUACUACUUGGAUAUCCGUAGUAAUUCUAGAGCUAAUACAUGCGUCGACUCCUUUACUGGAGGUAUUUAUUAGAUCCGAACCAACCCCCCCGGGGUUUUAUGGUGAAUCAUGAUAACUGUUCGAAUCGCCGGGCUAGACCUGGCGAUAGUUCAUUCAAAUUUCUGCCCUAUCAGCUAUUGACGGUAGUGUAGUGGACUACCGUGGCUUUAACGGGUGACGGAGAAUUAGGGUUCGAUUCCGGAGAGGGGGCCUGAGAAACGGCCACCACAUCCAAGGAAGGCAGCAGGCGCGCAAAUUACCCAAUCCCGACACGGGGAGGUAGUGACAAGAAAUAAGAUGGUUACGUCCUUUGUGGCGGAACUUUUCCGAUGAGUGUAAUGUAAA